This 493-nucleotide long non-coding RNA is filed under the name Physcomitrium patens. RNAcentral's name for it is "long non-coding RNA (PPAT_LNC002975)". The record is from RNAcentral. Lineage: Eukaryota; Viridiplantae; Streptophyta; Bryopsida; Funariales; Funariaceae.
GUACCAGGGAUCAAGUUACUCCUGGGAAGCAUGCAAUUGUUGGAUACAUGAGGCCUUUUCUGUUGUCUUUUAGAUGUGAACAAGGCCCCCUGCACACACAAACGCCUUUUAACUGUAAAUGAGGGAUAUUCUAGUGUUGAUCUUGCGUUGAACUCAGUGUGGAACAAGGUGGACUAGUGUAGACCAGCUGACUGGGUGUAGCCACAACUAGUGAUAACAAACUCGUUUGAUUGUCAAUUCAUGGACCAAUCGUCAUAAAUUUCUCAGUCUCUUGUCAAAUUGCUAUAUCCUUCAAAUUAGUAGACUCUUAAGGUUGCCAGAAUCUCAUUCAACCCUGGGGUGGGGGGUAGCUUGGGAGCAUGGGUAGCCAACUAUUGAUUCAAAUCCAUUGGAAUCAUUUCACACACACAUUCGACAUGGUUUCUUGAAACUAAAAUAUUAAUGGUAAUGAUAACAAAUGAUGCAUUUUGGAGCUGCAAUGGGAAUUUUAAAG